Molecule: unclassified non-coding RNA, 1750 nt
Organism: Stylophora pistillata
Lineage: Eukaryota; Metazoa; Cnidaria; Anthozoa; Scleractinia; Pocilloporidae
Source: RefSeq, a predicted model, not a curated record
AACACUGGAAACUAGUGUCUAUCAUGGCAGCGUUACUGGGAUUCAAUUCUAAAGAGGUCUAUGAACUGAACUACCCGUUUUGGUGCCAAAAAACUAGAAAAAAUGGAAUAUUGGACUCAUAUUGACUAUCAGUUCACGUUGGUUCUUGUUUGACGGUGUUUGGGUGGAAGAAAGACAUCAGAGAGGCCGAUAAAUCCUGAGGUGGAGACCGCGUAUGAUGUCUUCGAUAUCUUAAUCAACUCCCAGAGUCAAUAGAUUGUCAGUGAAGAUCUGCUGUGAACACACCUUGUAUGUUACCUAUUGACAAACAGUAGUCCAAAUUUUUUUUGCUUUGGUUUGCGGUGUAUGGACAACCUAUUUUGGGCUCCUGCGAGUUAUCCUUGGCUCAUUUACUGUUUGUGGCUUAUUAAAAAGCCUUGGUGUGGACAAGCCUCUGUGUGUGGCCAAUUAACAAGUCUUAAUUAACAUCUGUGGACAAGUCUUCAGGGAAAGUAGAGAAUCCACAAUUUAGAUCUUGGACAAGUGGGGUCAGUGUAUGAAGCUGGAUAACAAGUGGCAAACCGGAUGGUUAAAAGCCAGGGACAAACUGAAGAGUCUUGCUCUAGGAUGCUGAAACUCGGCCCAUCAAAAAGAAAGAGAAGAGUGUGAAAACUGUUUUGUAAACUGGACUGUCUUGCUGUGCUGAUUGGAUCUUGAACUGUGUACAAGAGAUGGAGUUGGCUUCACCCAUAAAAUCUAUUACUCAGUCUUGAUCUGGGAUCCUAAAACCUGGUGCACCAAAACAAAAAGAGCAGAGUGUGAAAACCGUUUAGGAAACUGGACUGUCUUGCUGCGCUGAUCGGAUCUUGAACUGUGUACAAGAGAUGGUCGACUAAUAGCUAACCAACAAUGGAGUUGGCUUCACUCAUAAAGUCUCCUUCUCAGUCUUGGUCUGGAUGCUAAGACCUGUUCCACCAAAAAACGAAGAGGAGAGUGUGAAAACUGUGUUGGAAUCUGGACUGUCUUGCUGCACUGAUUGGAUCUUGAACUGUGUACAAGAGAUUUCCAAGUGUUUGUCUGGAGCCGUUGGACCAGAAGAGUUAGCGUUCUCUAAAGAGGGUGAACGAUGUGGAGAAAAGUAGAUAUCAAGAGGUCAGAUCAUCUCCAGCAAGACACCAUGCAAAAAUAUCAACCUUGGUAAGAAAGCAGAGUUUGUUGGUCGAGAGAGAGAGAGUGCAGGAUACUUAAAGAAUUCUAGUAUCUCUGUCCCCUUCACGAAUGAAGCUGAAAGAAAGCUUUAAUCUUAAAAGGAAGUGUCGAUAGAAGUCCUCUGCCCUGUUUUAUAAACAUCUACAAAUUUACAAUACAAUCUUUUAAUACACAUGUGCUUUACAAUAGUAAUAUAACAUCUUUUUCUUACAAUACAUCAAUUUUAGAAAGUCUUUUCCGCCCGUCCGACCUCCCCCACCAAACCCACCCUUCAGACAACUUUCUUAAGAAUUUCAUAAAGUUGUCUACCUUGUGGUACUAACAUUUAUAACAUUUGAAAGUCUUUCUGUCUUACUUUAUCGUAACAAGCAUCGGUCUAAAAACACGCAUGUGUUUUAGAAGAUUUAGUUUACUACAAGGAUGAACUGGUUUGAAAUUUCAAAGAAAACUGUCUGUAGGAAGUGGGUGUGGUGGGGGACGGUGGACGAAAAAAUAGUGUCUUUAUUGCCUAUCAAUAAAUAUCCAACUAUCUAUUCUUCUGCACAGUACAACAAUGAACAAA